RNAcentral lists this long non-coding RNA (1699 nucleotides) under Elaeis guineensis (African oil palm). RNAcentral describes it as "long non-coding RNA (EGUI_LNC033037)". Lineage: Eukaryota; Viridiplantae; Streptophyta; Magnoliopsida; Arecales; Arecaceae. The record is from RNAcentral.
GUUGAGGCAGAGAACUGACUUGAGUGUCGGAGGGUCUUGCCGGAGCAACCCCACCUCCGGUUUAGACUUCUUUUGCAGGUCCCGACGGCGACCGCGACUCCCUCGACUCCAGCUUCUCCGGCGCAAGCGGAUUUUUGCACCAACAAGGAGCAACAGCAAGACCUAUCAUUUUACUCAUAUAUACAUUAAUCCAAACUCAAGUAGUGGUAAUAAAAGAAAAUCCUCUAAAAUAUUGAUUCAGUAAAAGGAUAGCUCACAUAGACUAAUAAUGAUAAAAAAAAGAAAGUCCAAAUCAAAUUUUAUUCAAAGCCAAAAUUAAGCAAAUGAUAUUUAAGAUCCUAUGCUCCUCACUAGCAAGCCACAUAUAUUCUUUUAGAUCUUGAAAAAAUAGAAAAAGUGAGUGAGCUUUACAAACUCGAUAAGUUUUCAAUAUCUCUGAAAGAUCAAGCAUAAUUAGAUUUUUUUUCAAAUAUAAUAAUUGAUAAUAUAUAUAUAUAUAUAUCCGUGUGUGUGUGCACGCAUGCGUGCAUGUGUGUGUACCAACAUAAUUUUUAAUCUUAAAAAAUAUAUCACAUAUAAUAGUAAAACUUGAAAUCCUCUCUCAGUCUUCGGUGAAUACAGCUAUGAUUAGUCCCAUGACAUGGCUCAGAAGAGACUAGCCUAAAAAAUACAUGCAAUCUAUCUGCGUGUACUAGUAAUCCACCCCAUUGGUUAGGCCCAAAGGAGAAAAGAGGGAGAAAGGGGAUGGCUGCUAUGAUGAUCUUCGGUGGAAAAGAUUGAGGGCCUGAGAAUUUUAAAAAGCAAUGGAGGCUUGAAUUUUCUAGCCUCCAAUAAAGUCGAAUUGGAGGAGGAUUCUUCCUCUUCCAUCUCACAAAAACAUAGAAAAAAUGAGGGAGUCCUUUAUUUUCCAAUUGAGAGGAUGGCUAUCGGACCCUUUUUUUGGAAUCGGGCCUAUCUCGAGCCCAAACAGACUGGGCCUCCCAUCUACGAACACGACUGCAUAGAAAAAAAAAUAUAAGAACAGGUGGCCUCAUAUUUCUCCCCUAUGGAUGGUCGCACAAAAAUGUAGCUAUUGUCCAUAUAGGAAAAUAAGCAUGAAUACCUGCAUCAAGAUAUUCCACUGGUAGGGGUAGUCUUUUAGAACCAGGAGACUGAGGGUUAGGGGAGGAGGCAAGGAUGGACAAGAGAAUUGUUGGACAUUUCGUAUCUCUAUUUUGGUAGAAGAAGAAUAUAGGUAAUGCACUACAUCGCUAGGGAUUGCCCUUCCUCAAAUACCCCUAUCACCCAAUUCCUGGUAAAGGCAUGAUUUUAUCAAAUUAUUUGGUCCACCUAGCAACUUGAUAACUUGGCACUUUUGUCUUCCCAUUGAUCUUUGGCAGGUUUGUUAGCUACUUAGCACGAUAGGAUUAAUAGUUGAAAUAAUUUCAAUUGGUGUUUGAUGUAUAUGCAGCAUUUUGCAUUGAAUGGUGUCAUAUACUGAGUUGGAGCGAAACCGUGGCUUCUUGGAUUUAAAUAAAAUUGGAAGAGAAUAAAAAGCCACCUCUUUUAAGACCUCAGAAUCCUAGCAAGCAUCACUUGUUAGUUCCUAAACAUGAUUUAAGCGUAUGGAAAUAAGCUGACAAGACAAUAAAAGAUGGCAAGAGAAAUGUAAUCUACAAAAGUUUUCUACCGUCAUUAAGAGAAUGUAAUGCAGGACGGU